UCUCUGUGGAAACCCAGAGCUGCUGGAAGAAUUCCAGGGCAUCUGUUAAGGGAAACAUGCCCCCCCUAAUUUUCAAGAGGCUUGUUCUUGCUGUGCCCAACAUUGUUCUGUGUGAUAUCUGUGCCAAUGCUGACUGCACUAGCUGUUAUUGAUGGUGGUAGAUGAUGUGCCUGGCAGAAGGAUUGAUUAGCAAAAGCUAGCAGAAGACCUGAGAUUUCUGAUUGUGCCCUUGUCUUCUUCUCUCCUUCCUUCCUGCUGAGGUUUGGAAGGAGCAGCGAUGUUCUUUUAGCUCUCCCGAAUCUUCACAUCAAUUUCCGAGAUGUGGCAAUUCCAGGCAAACCUCCCCAGAGCUUUCAUGUUUACUGUCCUUCCUGAUGGAGAGGUUCAGCGACUGUGUCCUACUUUUCAACUAUUUCUGAACCGUGUUUCAGUGUGGGCAUUGCUCUUGUCAAUAACAGCCAUCAACAAAACAUCCCUUCUCACAUGGAGAAGGCAUCUCCCGUUGGGUGUUUGACCCUUCCGUUACCUGGUCAUUGUAGCAACUCUUAAAGGAUUUGCACUUCCAUGUUGUUCAUGCACAAAUCUCAAAUAAAUACAUGGUUACA
Long non-coding RNA from Podarcis raffonei (Aeolian wall lizard), 605 nucleotides. RefSeq lists it as uncharacterized. The transcript is spliced from 2 exons. The record is from RefSeq and is a predicted model, not a curated record. NCBI's taxonomy places the organism in Eukaryota, Metazoa, Chordata, Lepidosauria, Squamata, Lacertidae.